AAUGAACAGCUGUGUCAUGAGCGCAUGAUACCCCUGUCGCGUUUUCAGAGAAUAAAGUUCAAUAACUUCUCAAUGUCACAUCAGACAUUUAUGAAAAACUAAAGGGAGGUUAUCUUAAUAGAUAUAAACCAGUCAACAAAGUUUAAUGGAAACUGCUCAAAGCACAUAAAAUGUAUUGUCUGAAAGCUGGAAAACCAACCUAUUUGUUUCAAGAAUAAAAUCCCAUAACCCGGAAAUGUAAUAUCAAUUUUUUUUUAAUUAAAAGGGAGUUUACGUCAAUAAAUAUAAAAAAAUCACCAUAGUUUCAUAAGAACUUCUGAAAUCAUUUUUGAGUUAUUUCAGAAAAUAGGAAUAUCCCCCUUUUUAAUUAUUAAUUUAAUACCUCAUAAGUCAGAAACAUAAAAUCGGAAAUUUAUAAAAAUCAAAAGGGAGAACAAUGUUUGGUUUAAGUGUUGUUGAGUUAAUGUCCGACAUGUUGACGAAGGAAAAACAGACGGACAACUGUAAACCUAAAUAUGUCCUGUAAAUGAGCAAAAAAGGGGGGUUGUUAUCCCAAAUUUUCUUUUGUUUUAUGAACAAUUAAUUUAUUUAGAAC
RNAcentral lists this long non-coding RNA (595 nucleotides) under Mytilus galloprovincialis (Mediterranean mussel). Lineage: Eukaryota; Metazoa; Mollusca; Bivalvia; Mytilida; Mytilidae. The record is from RNAcentral.